AAUACAACUUUUUUUUUUCAGAGACUGGAACUCACUUCUGCACAGAAGCCUUUUAAAGAAUUAAAUGGAGUUGAUGGGAUUCUUAAUCCUGAUUCUGGCUUUUUGUGCAGGGUUGAAUUUCAUAGAAAGAGUAAAUUUCAGACAAAGGAGAUGAAUGGAGUUAACCUUUAAUCUCUUUUUUGAAACACUGAGAGCUUUUGGUCUCAUGAGAUUGUGAAAUCAUGUUCCAUAUACAAAAGUUGUCUUUGUUUUGAAGGAUGGAUCAUGAUGACUGGUUGACUUGCAUGUUGAUGUUGUCUGCAGUGACUCUGGGAGCGCUUGUUGUUCCUGCUAUUUAAAAGCCCAAAUAACAGACAAAGUUUAUAGUUUAGCUUGCUGUUUGUGUGUGGAAGCUAUAAUAUUUUACUUUCAGUGCCUGAAAUAUAGAUAGUUUAAUAGGAGAAGGUUGAAUGUAGUUAAGGCUCAAUAUCGCUUUUAUUUAAAGAUCUCCUGAAUUGUGUUCUAGUUCCACUCCAGUAUAGCUCAAUUUAUUUCAUUUUCACUGCCACAAGACUUAAGAAAUAUCCUGGUCUUUUACAGUCAAAUAGAGUAUGAAUUACAAGCUUCUGUGCUGAAGUAGGAGAUUGGGCAUUAAAUAGGAUUUGGUGUUUAUCUGUUGCUAUGAGUGAUCCUGUCCAGCCUUGGAACGGCUCUGCUUGAACACUACUGAGGUUUACGUAGCAUCAGCUGUAGCCUGAGCGUAUCGUUGUGCUGAGUUCUGAGCAAAAGCAAUUAAAGGCAUAACUUCCAAUCACCUGCAAGAAUUGUAUAAGGAAGGUCAAGAUUUAUGUGCAAUGUCAGGAAGAGCAUGAAAAUCUUCUAGAGUUUUUCGCCUUUGUUUUGAUAUUUCUUGGACAAUUUACUUUCAGUUUUUGGGUGGUCUGUUUUCUCUUUGUCAGAAAGCACACAUAACCCUUUGGCAACAGUUCACUAGCUGGAGCAGAAACUUUUGCCAGGAAGAAUGUGAUGAAUCAUAACGUGUGACCAGAAUAACUGUACUGUUAAAAUGGCCAGGACUAAAUGGUAUUCCGCCCAUGAAACUGCACUUAUCUGGUUUGGUGUCUUUAACCUGAGAAUGCAGGUUGAAACAAGAAAUCCGUAGAAUAAACUGCAGUGGGAAAAUCAUUUGCUUGUAUAAACUGCAUCUAGACUAAUGUUUUAUGUAAAGUUCUAUGAUUUUACUAUGAAGGUAAUUCCAGAAGCUAUGCAUGCAAAACCUUUAAAAUGUAGACUUAGCCUUAAUUUUUGGCCUGGCUUGAUUAAUGGAUUUUAAAAGUCUCCUUUUGUAUGUUUGCCUGCAGCACAUGUAAGAAAAAAAUAUAAGGCAUCAUCGUGAUGAGAAAACUCAACUGUUUAACUUAAGCUGAAUGAAAUACACAGAGAAUACCAAAGUAUAUGCAAAGAAACUGACGUCCCUCCAGAUCAUUUUUAUUGUACCAUUCAGUUGUUAUCUAAGUGCGAGAAUGAAGAUGUUUCCGCUCUGAGCUGCACUUGCACUGCGUAAUGCCGUUCUCUUUACUGUUUAUGGAGAAUUUUGUGCAAGUAUUUUUUUACGUUACACCUUGAAUGGGCUCUAAUUCUUACAUUGGCUCUUCAAUACGCUGUCCGAGGUACCUCUGCCCCCAGCUCUGCAAAGCGAAGUACGGAGUACCGCACAUCUCUGGGCUUCUGAAGCCGAAGCGAACAAUUCUUGUGAGCUUUCCUGAGCUCGAGGAGGAAGAGAGGGGAAGAAGCCGGCCCCGAAGGUCCCCGUCCUCUUUUCCUUGCCCACACCAGCUUUCCCCAGUAGAUGGCAGCCGGAAUCCACACACAGCUGCUCGGCACCGAGUGGCAAUGCAUCUCAAUUUUCCUCGCCGAAGUGAUUUUUAGUUAACGCACACCCUAUGUUUUCAUUUAUGCUGGCCAAAUGAGGUUACUUUGACCUUGAUUAAUAAAAUGUAUAAUCAUUUUGGAAAUA
This is a long non-coding RNA of Numida meleagris (helmeted guineafowl), 1996 nucleotides long. RefSeq lists it as uncharacterized. The transcript has 2 exons. The record is from RefSeq and is a predicted model, not a curated record. Lineage: Eukaryota; Metazoa; Chordata; Aves; Galliformes; Numididae.